Peromyscus maniculatus bairdii (prairie deer mouse) is the source of this 893-nucleotide long non-coding RNA. RefSeq lists it as uncharacterized. Lineage: Eukaryota; Metazoa; Chordata; Mammalia; Rodentia; Cricetidae. The record is from RefSeq and is a predicted model, not a curated record.
GCUAGCGAAUGCACAGCUGCUCACAGCCACUUCGUAGCAUCGUCAGAGCCCGGCCUUUCCCGAGCAAACACGCGCUUUCCUGGUAGUGAUUCUUAAUGUUGCUGCUAGAAGGCCAGCCCGUGUGAGCUGCCUGCCGGACUCCCAGCUGCCUGCUUUCUCUGAUCCUCGUGCUCAGUGUUCCGUUCAGUGCCCCAGAUCUUCCAGGAAGCCUGUCUGAUCAGAAUGGCCCAGGGAGAGCAGUGUCCUGUUUCCAAAAGCGAAUGUGGCCUUGGAUCUUCCGAAAGAGCACUCACAGCCUGUGCUGGGAAGGAGAGGCUUGAAGCAGUCCCCGGGACCCACACAGCCCUGUCCUCUUCAGCCUGUACCUUGCAGGGGGUUCAGGUCACCUCCCCCCCACCCCUUUCGCCUUCGUGUUUUCUGCCUUUCUGCCGACAGGAGCAGGAGAGACCUUUCAAGGUGUCUUUACAGUUCCUUGAAAGCUGGAGGGAGAGGCCAGCAGUGAAUUAUAUAACAGCAAAGCCGUUUUAAAGCAACAGCGACUGCCUAUAGGCACGGGGUAUUUCCCAGCCAGUUUCCGUGUCUGACUAUAAAGAAAAAAAAAAAUGUACAAAUUCUGUGAAGAGCAUCGAGGAGACCCCACCCCCACCCCCCGACCCCUGCCAUCCCCUCUCACUGCUUUCUAUUCUUCCAUCAGAGGAACACAAUUCCCCAGGAUGAUGAAGGGGGCGGGAUGGGGGGUUGUAACGACGACAAUAACAACCAAAAAAAAUCUUCCAAAGCCUUUCUGAAGAAAUGCUAGGGGAAAGCUUGUUCGCUAACCUCCGGGGCACAGCACCGUACUUCUGUAAAAAAAAAAAAGGAGAAGAGGGAGAGAAACCCGGCUAAAGUCCGUG